Molecule: long non-coding RNA, 1619 nt
Organism: Durio zibethinus
Lineage: Eukaryota; Viridiplantae; Streptophyta; Magnoliopsida; Malvales; Malvaceae
Source: RefSeq, a predicted model, not a curated record
AUAGAUAGACAUCUUUGAUGAUAAUUUUUUUCAGAUAAAAUUUAGAGAUUAAGAUAGAUGAAUUUUGAGAAGCUCAAUCUCUUUUUUGUUUUGGAUAUCUAUCUAAGUCGGGAUUCAACUACUAUAAAUACCUAAAUUGUUGCAACAAUUAAGGGGGAAAGCAAUUGCACAGAGAGAAUUCACACAAAAAAGAGAGUGAAAAUAGAAAAAAAAGAUAGGUGAGAGUUUGGCCAGAAGAGGGGACUGAUUUGGAGUAUUUUUAGUUUGUUUUUUCCGGGUUUGAAAGGUUUUUAAGUGUGAUUUUGAGGAAAAGUUGUAGAUAAUAGUGUUUGUGAGAUCAAAUCUGUCGAAGGGAGGAUUUGCUGAAAUUUUUUUUUUAAAUAUCUAGAAAUUCUCCAAAUUCCAUUGAGUUUUUCAGUAAGUCUUUGGUACUUUCGUCGAAAUUGCAACGACAUUUUAAAGUUUUCAAUGAGAUUUUUCAAAAUCUAGUGCCAGAGUUCAUCGUUUCUGGGUUUGGGAAGAUUGAGGUUAGAGAAAAAUUAGCUUAGAGAGAGAAGGGAGAAAUAAAUUGUAAGGAAAAAACUUUGGCUUUUAUAGAAGCCAAAACGCACUCUUUUAUUAAAAGAGAAUCCAUGUGCUUCCGUUAGCCCAAUCCGACUAGAGCGCUUGCAACUCGCGACUCGCUUCAGCAUCCAGCAGUUCAAGCUGGGCUGAGCCAUCAGCCGAAUCAGUCUUGAGCCACCGAGCCACACCACUUACUAAGCCGAACUGGUAGGGAGGGAAAGAGAAAUAGUUUAGGUGGUGGGUUUAAGGAUUUUCGAAGGCUAUUGAGUCACCACCAAUGGCGAUUAUAGCGGUAGCAGACGUCGGUUGAUAGAGUUUUGGAGAUCGGAGUCCACCAUGAGGAAGGGUACAAAGAGUUUUAGGUGUUUUCAGGGAAAUCUAGCCAGGAAAUUGGAAAGAGGGGAUCGCGAUGAGAAUUUUGGUAAAUUUUGGUACAAGUUUAGCACUGGUGGCCGGCGGUGAUCGGCGAUUGACGACGGCUGCCAAAGAAGAGCGGUCCCGGAAUCUGGGAAAGCUUGACAAUCCGGGCCGGGAUUCAUCUUGGUUAGAGAAAGGGUGAGAGAAAAUCCGGUCAGAUAGAGUGGUGAAGGGAAAAGUGAGAAUGCAAAUAAAUUUUUUUGAAGUUUUAUAUAAAGCUGAAACGUGGUGUUUUGAAUAACCCAAGAUCCGCACCUUUUUUUGUUACCCCAACCAGGAACCCGUGUAGAAGACUUGAAAACCCGGGGUUCCUUCUUCAGCUGAGCCUAUUGAGGGAGCCAUUUUGCGAGCCGUCGAGCAAUUACAUUAGGGGAGCCGAGACGGUUUUUGGUUUUUUUUUUUUUUAUAUUUUGGUUUUUUUUUUAUUUAUUUGUUUAAAAAUUAAAUUCAUGAAUCUGAGUUAAGGUGCACGCCUCUUUAAGAAAGAUAGAUAUAAUACAUAAUCAAUCGUAUUUAAAUAAAAAAUAAUUAAUGACAAAUUUCGUGUACAGUAUCUAAUGAUCAAGUUUUAAACUUGUUCGUUACAACAUCAUGUUUUCAUAUCAUAAAAUUUAGUUUUGGAUAUCCCAAUUAUAAAA